GACGAACGCUGGCGGCGUGCCUAAUACAUGCAAGUAGAACGCACAGUUUAUACCGUAGCUUGCCACACCAUAGACUGUGAGUUGCGAACGGGUGAGUAACGCGUAGGUAACCUGCCUGGUAGCGGGGGAUAACUAUUGGAAACGAUAGCUAAUAUCGCAUAAUAUUAAUUAUUGCAUGAUAAUUAAUUGAAAGGUGCAAUUGCACCACUACCAGAUGGACCUGCGUUGUAUUAGCUAGUAGGUGAGGUAACGGCUCACCUAGGCGACGAUACAUAGCCGACCUGAGAGGGUGAUCGGCCACACUGGGACUGAGACACGGCCCAGACUCCUACGGGAGGCAGCAGUAGGGAAUCUUCGGCAAUGGACGAAAGUCUGACCGAGCAACGCCGCGUGAGUGAAGAAGGGUUUCGGAUCGUAAAGCUCUGUUGUAAGAGAAGAACGGGUGUGAGAGUGGAAAGUUCACACUGUGACGGUAUCUUACCAGAAAGGGACGGCUAACUACGUG
Molecule: ribosomal RNA, 505 nt
Filed under: uncultured bacterium
Lineage: Bacteria
Description: partial 16S ribosomal RNA
Rfam family: Bacterial small subunit ribosomal RNA
Source: RNAcentral